Molecule: ribosomal RNA, 497 nt
Filed under: uncultured bacterium
Lineage: Bacteria
Description: partial 16S ribosomal RNA
Rfam family: Bacterial small subunit ribosomal RNA
Source: RNAcentral
GAUGAACGCUGGCGGCGUGCCUAAUACAUGCAAGUCGAGCGAACAGAUGAGGAGCUUGCUCCUCUGACGUUAGCGGCGGACGGGUGAGUAACACGUGGAUAACCUACCUCUAAGACUGGGAUAACUUCGGGAAACCGGAGCUAAUACCGGAUAAUAUAUUGAACCGCAUGGUUCAAUAGUGAAAGACGGUUUUGCUGUCACUUAUAGAUGGAUCCGCGCCGCAUUAGCUAGUUGGUAAGGUAGCGGCUUACCAAGGCGACGAUGCGUAGCCGACCUGAGAGGGUGAUCGGCCACACUGGAACUGAGACACGGUCCAGACUCCUACGGGAGGCAGCAGUAGGGAAUCUUCCGCAAUGGGCGAAAGCCUGACGGAGCAACGCCGCGUGAGUGAUGAAGGUCUUCGGAUCGUAAAACUCUGUUAUUAGGGAAGAACAAAUGUGUAAGUAACUAUGCACGUCUUGACGGUACCUAAUCAGAAAGCCACGGCUAACUACGUG